This 397-nucleotide ribosomal RNA is filed under the name uncultured bacterium. RNAcentral describes it as "partial 16S ribosomal RNA". It matches the Rfam family "Bacterial small subunit ribosomal RNA", at positions 360 to 774 of the family's 1533-position model. The record is from RNAcentral.
AAUAUUGCACAAUGGAGGAGACUCUGAUGCAGCGACGCCGCGUGAAUGACGAAGGCCUUCGGGUCGUAAAAUUCUGUCCUUGGGGACGAUAAUGACGGUACCCAAGGAGGAAGCUCCGGCUAACUACGUCCCUGCAGCCGCGGUAAUACGUAGGGGGCAAGCGUUGUCCGGAAUUAUUGGGCGUAAAGGGUGCGUAGGCGGCCUUUUAAGUCAGAUGUGAAAGCCCACGGCUUAACCGUGGGACUGCAUUUGAAACUGGAGGGCUUGAGUAUCGGAGAGGGUGGUGGAAUUCCCAGUGUAGCGGUGGAAUGCGUAGAUAUUGGGAGGAACACCAGUGGCGAAGGCGACUACCUGGACGAAAACUGACGCUGAGGUGCGAAAGCGUGGGGAGCAAACA